AGGGCUUGACAUGGAGAGGCUGGUUACAGAGAUGUGACGUUCCCUUCGGGGACUUCUUACACAGGUGGUGCAUGGUUGUCGUCAGCUCGUGUCGUGAGAUGUUGGGUUAAGUCCCGCAACGAGCGCAACCCCUAUUGUUAGUUGCUACGGAAGAGCACUCUAGCGAGACUGCCGUUGACAAAACGGAGGAAGGUGGGGACGACGUCAAAUCAUCAUGCCCCUUAUGUCCUGGGCGACACACGUAAUACAAUGGCGGUCAACAAAGGGAGGCAAGUCCGCGAGGAGGAGCAAACCCCGAAAAGCCGUCUCAGUUCGGAUCGCAGGCUGCAACCCGCCUGCGUGAAGUCGGAAUCGCUAGUAAUCGCGGAUCAGAAUGCCGCGGUGAAUACGUUCCCGGGUC
Molecule: ribosomal RNA, 400 nt
Filed under: uncultured bacterium
Lineage: Bacteria
Description: bacterial SSU rRNA
Rfam family: Bacterial small subunit ribosomal RNA
Source: RNAcentral